GAGAUAUGAUGUAGACAUUGUCAACGCUUUCUAAUGUCAAUCCUGCAAAAUGAAUAAUUAACUUAAUGUUUCUUAACUUCCAUCAAACACUAAAAUAAGAUAUCAAAAGGAGGCUGUCUAAGUAGAAAAACAAAAGGAUGCUCUUAAGAAGUUGCAACCUAUCUGGACAACAUAAUUUGUAUUAAUUGCUGCAUCUAAAACCUUUUGCCGCAACAGUUUGUAAAAUCUAAAUAUUAAGUUUCCAGUAACAACAACACCAUUAAAGAGUAGGGUUGUGCACGGUUCUUGGGUACCAGGAAGUCUGGAACUGAACUAGAAUUGAAGAAGAACCAACAUUGUAGGAAUUGAACCAAGCCGAACUUAUGUUACUGUUUUGGUUUGAUUCUGGUUCUUUAUCAAUUUUAUACAUAUGUUUUUUCAAGAAAUGAAGAAGAAGAAGGAGGAGAA
RNAcentral lists this unclassified non-coding RNA (447 nucleotides) under Hevea brasiliensis (rubber tree). Lineage: Eukaryota; Viridiplantae; Streptophyta; Magnoliopsida; Malpighiales; Euphorbiaceae. The record is from RNAcentral.